RNAcentral lists this unclassified non-coding RNA (345 nucleotides) under soil metagenome. RNAcentral describes it as "partial contains 5.8S ribosomal RNA, internal transcribed spacer 2, and large subunit ribosomal RNA". The stretch from base 1 to 120 matches the Rfam family "5.8S ribosomal RNA", at positions 35 to 154 of the family's 154-position model. The record is from RNAcentral.
GAUGAAGAACGCAGCGAAAUGCGAUAAGUAAUGUGAAUUGCAGAAUUCAGUGAAUCAUCGAGUCUUUGAACGCACAUUGCGCCCCCUGGUAUUCCGGGGGGCAUGCCUGUCCGAGCGUCAUUGCUGCCCUCAAGCACGGCUUGUGUGUUGGGCCUCCGUCCUCCUCCCGGGGGACGGGCCCGAAAGGCAGCGGCGGCACCGCGUCCGGUCCUCGAGCGUAUGGGGCUUCGUCACCCGCUCUUGUAGGCCCGGCCGGCGCUUGCCGACACAUCAAUCUUUUUUCCAGGUUGACCUCGGAUCAGGUAGGGAUACCCGCUGAACUUAAGCAUAUCAAUAAGCGAAGGA